RNAcentral lists this ribosomal RNA (1039 nucleotides) under uncultured organism. RNAcentral's name for it is "bacterial SSU rRNA". It matches the Rfam family "Bacterial small subunit ribosomal RNA", at positions 34 to 1083 of the family's 1533-position model. The record is from RNAcentral.
CGUUAGCAGAAAGCUUAACACAUGCAAGUCGAACGGUAACAGGAAUAGCUUGCUAUUUGCUGACGAGUGGCAAACGGGCGAGUAACACGUGCUUGACCUACCUUAAGGUAAGGGACAACCUUGGAAACAAGGCUAAUCCCUUAUAAGCUCUUAAAGAUUAAAUACUUAAAGAGGAAAGAUUUAUCGCCUUAAGAGGGGGGUGCGGAUCAACAGCUAGUUGGUAGGGUAAGAGCCUACCAAGGCGAUGACGGAUAGCCGGCCUGAGAGGGUGAUCGGCCGCAACGGGACUGAGACACGGCCCGUACUCCUACGGGAGGCAGCAGUGAGGAAUUUUGGACAAUGGAGGAAACUCUGAUCCAGCUAUUCUGCGUGGAGGAUGAAGCUUUUCGGAGUGUAAACUUCUUUUCUGGGGGAAGAUGAAUGACGGUACCUCAGGAAUAAGGGGCGGCUAACUAUGUGCCAGCAGCCGCGGUAAUACAUAGGCCUCAAACGUUACCCGGAGUUACUGGGCGUAAAGGGUCCGUAGCCGGAUAUAUAAGUCUAUCUUCAAAGACUGAAGCUUAACUUCAGGAAGGGGGUAGAUACUGUGUAUCUAGAGAUAGAAGGGGGUUAGUGGAAUUUCCGGUGGAGCGGUGGAAUGCGUUGAUAUCGGGAAGAACGCCAAAAGUGAAGACAGCUAACUACUACUAAUCUGACGGUAAGGGACGAAAGCAUAGGUAUCAAAUAGGAUUAGAUACCCUAGUAGUCUAUGCUGUAAAUGAUGUAUGCUAAGUGUUGGUUCUUAUGAAUCAGUACUGAACCUAACGGGAUAAGCAUACCGCCUGGGAAGUAUAGUCGCAAGACCGAAACUCAAAAGGAUAGGCGGGGGAACAUACAAACAGUGGAUUAUCUCGAUUAAUUGGAUAAUAAACCAAGAAUCUUACCCGGGUUUGACAUCCUUGGAAUCUUGUAGAAAUAUAGGAGUGUCCAGCUUGCUGGAAGCCAAGUGACAGGUGCUGCCAUGGCCGUCGUCAGCUCGUGCCGCAAGGUGUUCGGUUAA